ACAAUUUUUGCCGAGACGCUGCAUGGCGGUCUGGUAGUCCUUUGUUCUUCAAUAGGAUUUCGCCUACAAUUUGGAGGCGAAAACAACAUACUCAAACGUUUCUUACGUGUGUUUCGUGUCGAACGCAUCAUUUGACGCCGAUACGACGCCAAACGAGUGAGAUAUUCCGUUGGAAGAAACAGCGAUGACGCGCGGCGCUCUAUUCAGACAACGAUGCAACGCACAAGAAAGAAGAUCUUUUCGAAGAUGAAGACAUCGGCGAUUCAAUUAGUGCAGCUUAGACAAGAAGUUGACAUGAACGCAUCGAAACUAUCAUCAAUAGCUAUGAGAUUUGUAUGAUUCGAAAGCGCAAUUAACAAGCUUUUCAAAUCUGUAUGUAUUGUAAUUUUCGCUUCUAUAAUGUGGGUACAAUUGCGAAUAAUAAGUAAUGGAUUGUA
Long non-coding RNA from Corticium candelabrum, 437 nucleotides. RefSeq lists it as uncharacterized. The record is from RefSeq and is a predicted model, not a curated record. The transcript has 2 exons. Lineage: Eukaryota; Metazoa; Porifera; Homoscleromorpha; Homosclerophorida; Plakinidae.